Molecule: ribosomal RNA, 529 nt
Filed under: Hylomus pilosus
Lineage: Eukaryota; Metazoa; Arthropoda; Diplopoda; Polydesmida; Paradoxosomatidae
Description: partial large subunit ribosomal RNA
Rfam family: Archaeal large subunit ribosomal RNA (bases 402-529)
Source: RNAcentral
UGUCUGUUGAAAAAGGAUUAAAGAUAGAUUCUGCUCUCUGCUUAGUAAAGGGCUGCCGUAUUCUGACUGUAUCAAGGUAGCAUAAUCAUUAGUUUAUUAAUUGUAAACUGGUAUGAAAGGUUGAACUAAAAAAAUUUAUAUUUUAUAAAAAAUUGAAUUUGGUUAUUUUGUGAAAAAACAAAUUUUUGAUUAUGGGACGAGAAGACCCUAAAAAUUUUAUUUUUUUAGCAGAGUUAUUAAAUUAGGAAAAGGAUAAAAGUUAUUUUUGAUGUUUUGUUAAAAAUGAUUUUGCUGGGGCGGCUGUUUUGUAUGGAACAUAAUUAAUUUAUUUUAAUUAAGGUUGAAACGUAGAAGAGAUCCUAUAAGUAAAUUAGGUUGAUUGAAGGGAAAAUUACUUUAGGGAUAACAGCGUAAUUAAUUUGGAGAGUUCAUAUUGAUAAAUUAGUUUGCGACCUCGAUGUUGGAUUAGGGUAAAUGAUUUAUGAAGAGAUAUAUAUAAUUUAGUCUGUUCGACUAUAAAAAUCCUACA